RNAcentral lists this long non-coding RNA (565 nucleotides) under Bos taurus (domestic cattle). RNAcentral's name for it is "long non-coding RNA NONBTAT023338". The record is from RNAcentral. Lineage: Eukaryota; Metazoa; Chordata; Mammalia; Artiodactyla; Bovidae.
GGAACUUAUACUAAUUUGGUAGUGUAUCUAAUUUUAGGUGAAGAGUCAGUUGUAUUCUUGCCAGCUUGAUAGGUCAGACAAGUUUCUUCUGUAGUCAAUAAUUUCAUGAACAAUCAAAAAUCUAUAACUCCCUGUUGUCAUUUCCAGGAAAUACAUGAAAUCUUUCCUAAUUGCUGUUAGAAUGUUCUGUGCUUGAAGAGGGCAUCAGGUGAUACACCUGACAAUGGGAAGAGAAGAUGUUUUGGGAAUGCCAUCUACCAGAAUUGUGGGCAACAGGAAUGAAGAGUCAAAAAACAUCUUUCCUGAUGUUUUUUAUUUUCCAUAUACUCUUAAGGCAAGGAAAUAGCUUUUUUGUUAACAACUGAAUGAUAAAGGGCAUGUAAACUUUCUUCAUCUCUCAGAAGCCCUUGAUCUCUGUAGGAUAGAUUUGAUGGGAAAAUGAAUAAAUUCCUUUUCCUGCUGAAUUGAUGUUUUGGGAGUACAGUGGGCUCUGAAUUAUUGUCUCUUGCUACAGAACAUUAGAGAGAAAUAAGAUAGCUGAGUUCUGUUAACAUCAGAAUAGGAG